GGAGGGAUGGCCGAGUGGCUGAAGGCAGUGGUUUGCUAAACCGCCAUACGGUUGAAAAGCCGUAUCGAGGGUUCGAAUCCCUCUCCCUCCGCCA
This 94-nucleotide transfer RNA is filed under the name Holosporaceae bacterium. RNAcentral describes it as "tRNA-Ser". It matches the Rfam family "tRNA". Rfam says of the family: Transfer RNA (tRNA) molecules are approximately 80 nucleotides in length. Their secondary structure includes four short double-helical elements and three loops (D, anti-codon, and T loops). Lineage: Bacteria; Pseudomonadati; Pseudomonadota; Alphaproteobacteria; Holosporales; Holosporaceae. The record is from RNAcentral.